This 64-nucleotide transfer RNA is filed under the name Dipodomys ordii (Ord's kangaroo rat). It matches the Rfam family "tRNA". From Rfam's summary of the family: Transfer RNA (tRNA) molecules are approximately 80 nucleotides in length. Lineage: Eukaryota; Metazoa; Chordata; Mammalia; Rodentia; Heteromyidae. The record is from Rfam by way of RNAcentral.
GGUGGCUCAGUGGUAGAGUGCUUGCCUUGCAUUCAUGAGGCCUGGGUUCAAUUCCUCAGCACCA